GUCCACGCCCUAAACGAUGCAUAUUUGGUGUGGGCGAUUCAUUUCGUCUGUGCCGGAGCUAACGCGUUAAAUAUGCCGCCUGGGGAGUACAGUCGCAAGGCUGAAACUCAAAGGAAUUGACGGGGGCCCCGCACAAGUGGUGGAGCAUGUGGUUUAAUUCGACGCAACGCGAAGAACCUUACCUGGGCUCGAAAUGCUAUGGACCAGCUUAUGAAAGUAGGCCUUCCCGCAAGGGACCGUAGUAUAGGUGCUGCAUGGCUGUCGU
This 265-nucleotide ribosomal RNA is filed under the name uncultured bacterium. RNAcentral's name for it is "partial 16S ribosomal RNA". It matches the Rfam family "Bacterial small subunit ribosomal RNA", at positions 793 to 1055 of the family's 1533-position model. The record is from RNAcentral.